CGAUAAUCUGCCCUAAGUUCAGGGAUAACUACGGGAAACUGUGGCUAACACCUGAUAAGGAAAAGAUACUGGAAUGUUCUUUUUCUCAAACUCGAGCCUUAGGAUGAGUUGGCGGCCGAUUAGGCAGUUGGCGGUGUAACGGACCACCAAACCAAAGAUCGGUACGGGCCCUGAGAGGGGUAGCCCGGAGAGGGACACUGAGAUACUGGUCCCAGCCCUACGGGGUGCAGCAGGCGCGAAAACUUUACAAUGCACGAAAGUGUGAUAAGGGAAUCCUAAGUGCUCAGGCAUUGCCUGGGCUUUUGCCAUAUGUAAAUAGUAUGGCGAAUAAGUAGUGGGCAAGACUGGUGCCAGCCGCCGCGGUAACACCAGCGCUACGAGUGGCAAUCACGUUUAUUGGGCCUAAAGCGUCCGUAGCAGGUCUUGUAAAUUUUUUGUGAAACUGCCAAGCUUAACUUGGCAAUGUGCAGGAAACACUGCAAGACUUGAGACCGGGAAGGGUCGGAGGUAUUCCUGAGGGAGCGGUAAAAUGCUAUAAUCUCAGGAGGACCACCGGUGGCGAAGGCGUCCGACUAGAACGGAUCUGACUGUGAGGGACGAAAGCCAGGGGAGCAAACCGGAUUAGAUACCCGAGUAGUCCUGGCUGUAAACGCUGUGAGCUAGGUGUCGCGCAUUCUACGGGAAUGCGCGGUGUCGUAAGGAAGCUACUAAGCUCACCGCCUGGGAAGUACGGUCGCAAGACUGAAACUUUA
RNAcentral lists this ribosomal RNA (752 nucleotides) under uncultured archaeon. RNAcentral's name for it is "bacterial SSU rRNA". It matches the Rfam family "Archaeal small subunit ribosomal RNA", at positions 102 to 859 of the family's 1478-position model. The record is from RNAcentral.